Molecule: small nuclear RNA, 114 nt
Filed under: Oryzias latipes (Japanese medaka)
Lineage: Eukaryota; Metazoa; Chordata; Actinopteri; Beloniformes; Adrianichthyidae
Description: U5 spliceosomal RNA (ENSORLG00000027124.1)
Rfam family: U5 spliceosomal RNA
About the family: U5 RNA is a component of both types of known spliceosome. The precise function of this molecule is unknown, though it is known that the 5' loop is required for splice site selection and p220 binding, and that both the 3' stem-loop and the Sm site are important for Sm protein binding and cap methylation.
Source: Rfam by way of RNAcentral
GCACUCUUGUUUCUCUUCAGAUCGUAUAAAUCUUUCGCCUUUUACUAAAGACUUCCGUGGGGAGGAACAACAAGAGUUUGAUUCAAUUUUUUGAUGCCCUGCAGUAGUAGGGCC